This 450-nucleotide ribosomal RNA is filed under the name uncultured bacterium. RNAcentral's name for it is "partial 16S ribosomal RNA". It matches the Rfam family "Bacterial small subunit ribosomal RNA", at positions 354 to 796 of the family's 1533-position model. The record is from RNAcentral.
GUGGGGAAUUUUGGCCAAUGGGGGCAACCCUGAUCCAGCCAUGCCGCGUGCGGGAAGAAGGCCUUCGGGUUGUAAACCGCUUUUGUCAGGGAAGAAAUCCUUUGGGUUAAUACCUCGGAGGGAUGACGGUACCUGAAGAAUAAGCACCGGCUAACUACGUGCCAGCAGCCGCGGUAAUACGUAGGGUGCGAGCGUUAAUCGGAAUUACUGGGCGUAAAGCGUGCGCAGGCGGUUUUGUAAGAUCGAUGCGAAAUCCCCGGGCUCAACCUGGGAACUGCAUUGGUGACUGCAAGGCUGGAGUGCGGCAGAGGGGGAUGGAAUUCCGCGUGUAGCAGUGAAAUGCGUAGAUAUGCGGAGGAACACCGAUGGCGAAGGCAAUCCCCUGGGCCUGCACUGACGCUCAUGCACGAAAGCGUGGGGAGCAAACAGGAUUAGAUACCCCGGUAGUCC